UACGGAGGGGGCUAGCGUUGUUCGGAAUUACUGGGCGUAAAGCGCACGUAGGCGGCUUUGUAAGUUAGAGGUGAAAGCCCGGGGCUCAACUCCGGAAUUGCCUUUAAGACUGCAUCGCUAGAAUUGUGGAGAGGUAAGUGGAAUUCCGAGUGUAGAGGUGAAAUUCGUAGAUAUUCGGAAGAACACCAGUGGCGAAGGCGGCCUGCUGGGCAGUAGCUGACGCUGAGGCGCGACAGCGUGGGGAGCAAACAGG
RNAcentral lists this ribosomal RNA (253 nucleotides) under uncultured bacterium. RNAcentral's name for it is "partial 16S ribosomal RNA". It matches the Rfam family "Bacterial small subunit ribosomal RNA", at positions 524 to 776 of the family's 1533-position model. The record is from RNAcentral.